ACGAGUCGUUAUGGCGGUUGUUUGUAUUUCGUCAUUAUUGGAAAUGGCAGGUCCUAAUUAUUUAAGUCGCACUAUUAACCAUUUUGUCUAUGACGCGAAAAAGUGUUCUGCUAGCAAUACAUUGUAGAUUCGUUCGCCGAGAAACUAUUGUGUGUCUACGAAAGUGUGAAUGCCCUUGGUUCCACAUGGUGGUAACUAAGAGAAAAUAUUCUUAUAGAUCUAGCUGGAACCUUAAGUUCAAGUAAUUGUGUAAAGGAAGACCCAGAAGUAAAAAACUGAAAUGGGUCAAAUGAGAAUAAUUUGAAUAUUUACGUAAAGCUGGAGCAGAUGCAGGGUGAAGAAGAUGCAACUGGCUAACAUCGAAAUUAAGCGUAUACAAUAAGUUUUGCUUAGUUAAUGUGUAUGCAGUGUGAAAUGUGAAGUGAUUUCCAGAUGCUGUGUGUUCUUCACUAGUUUUGUAGCUACUGGUGUUUUCUCUACUUGUAUGAGACAACUAUCAUCACAUUUUGCUACAAAGGAAUUUUUAAUUUUUAGUAAUACUUUAGAGCCACAGGCUGUUUCCAUGUGUACCACAGUAUGAUUUUUGCACCCAGCUUCUCACAUCUCAAAUCUCUUAAAAUUUGCUUAGUGCUGUUGUUCACAGUGUGAGGGUGCACAGAUAUAAGAUGAGCAGUUUACAAGCUUGCUUAAGUGGUUCUUGGUUUUCAAACCUGCUGGCAGAAAAAUCAAUGGUUGGCAAUGUAAUAUGUGUAAGAAUGAAACAGAUUUGUGAAGUUACUCCAUUCUGUUAAACUGUUUGUAUGAUUACACCUUUUCUGUCAAUGUUUCUCAAAAUUCACUGGGAGGUACAGUCAUUAGCUGUUAAGAUUAUCCUAACACUUACCCAUGUGAAACAAUGUUCUUUUAUCCCACUUGUAGAUAUUAAUUAUCUGUUACCUGUAGCCAGUCUGGAUAGUUUUAUCCAAUCUGGAAUGUGACUGUGGGAUACAUACACACUCAUCGUGUCAUUAGCUGUUAAGUAAUCUUAAUGAGACAAUAUUCUUUGUCUCGUUCACAGGCAGAAAUGUAUAUUUAAGUGUGCAAAUGUAACCUUGACUUUUUGGUAUGACUGUGGCAUUACAUGCCCAAAUCACACUGAUAUUAAAUGUUAUUCGUAAGCACAAACACAUAUUUAAAUGCCUAGUUGCAAAUUUGACCUCAUGUCAGUCAAAAAAAUGUAUAUGAUUGAGGACUGUGGUGUUGCACACCAAGUCUUCUGAUACUGAUGGUUAACUUCUGUUCUUUCAUUAAUCAGUGUUAGACAAUGUCAGUUUAACACACCUGGACAGCAACUUAUUACUUAAAAACAAAAUAUUUAGGCACUGCUGCCUUUGCAUCUUUUAACCAUUAUGUUUUACUAAGAAUAUGUAAUUUUACACAAUAUACAUUUAUGUACAUUGUCCCAUUAUAUUUAUGGCGUUAUACGCCAAACUUAUAAAAAGGUCCUUAGAAACCUAACACUUAGCUUGACACUAUUUUAGUAAUACGAUUCACGUGUUACAUUUUGUUAAGUUACUACCUGUAUGUGCUGCUAUUCUUACCCAGUUUCUAACUAACCUACACAAUGAAAAUGUCCCUGGUUUAUCUGAAAAUUGGUAUUUGUAACUCACUGGUUGUGGCCAUGGCACUCCAUUCUCUGUUUCACGCUUCAACGAGGUUAGUUUCCCAUGAUCCCAAUGUGACUGGGAGACCACAGGAAUGCUACAUCUUCCUAUUGUCAUGAAGGACUAAGAGAAGAUUUUGGAAUUGCAUGUGUUACCAACAGAUAGUGGUAAUGGGCUGCUCAUUAGGGGUGUGGAGGAGAAUGGCAAAGAUCAAAUGGGAUGACAUGUGAGAGUACAGACCAGCUGUUGCUUCUAUUCCCAGUGUUGAGAGCAGUCAACACUGACCAUAGAAGACAAGACUGCUGAUCGCUAUGCACGACCGUAGGGAGGGAGGCUCGAAAUACUGAGAUGCGUCAUAUAGUGGGUGGCUAUUGAUACCACAAAUCUAUUUGUGAAUUUCUGGGCUUGUAUCUUUCAAAUAAGUGUAAUUUGCAGUUGCUCACACACUGUCUUGAGCAUCGCACCUCUGUAUGUCACACUCUCAUUUUCUGUUAUUACCUCACAAUUAAGAGUACGAUAUUACAUUCUUGUCUGAGAAUUAUUCUAUUAACUGAUAAUUUUGAAGCUGAAUAUUAAUGGACUUGAUUUAAUGGCAGUUUGGUGUUGGCACGUUCAGUGACUUCAUUUGUACAAAUCUGAUGCUAAAUGGUUAAAUAUAAACACGUAUGUUCAAGAAUGAAAUCCACCAGAACUUGUCAAACAGGAAUGAGUUUAAUUAAAAGUGCUGAAUGUUUGUACAUGGGCAGAGUUUAGAAGUACCUGACAUCAAUGCAAGAAGACACCUAAUUACGGGCAGUGAUAAAGACAAUAGGGAAAAGUAAAUCAGACAUAUGUGAAAGGGAAAUGACACCAUAAACACCAUUACUUACAUAUAUAUAACAGGGUAGAGAAAGGAUGUGACUGCUAGAUGAUUGGAAGAGAAGGCACAAACAAUGAACUGAAGACACAACAAUGGAUCACAAGAAAUAGACAGCAAAAAUAUGCUUAUUGGAAAGAAAAUUCAUGAUAAUACUAGAACUCUUAACAUUACUGAAUAUUUAUUUUCUUGCUUAACAUAAUGUGAAAUGUAAGGAAAAUUUACGUUUAGAAUGUUUAUCAUCAGCUGUUCAGUAUAUUUUGAUACAAUUGGCCUUGUCAACAUGUAAAGUACAGUUAAUGAAAUUAAUAAACCAGCUUUGCUUUAUGAGUGAAAAACACACACAAAAUUACAAUUAAAUAUCAGUUACAUACUUACACAUAUUAGUUACAUACAUUUACUGUUUAUGAUUACUUAUGGCUAGUUGAAGCAAUACACCCAAGUAUUUAUAUUUACAUGUACACUAUGUGAUCAAACAUAUCCAGACAUUUGGCUGGAAAUGACUUAAAAGUUCGUGGUGCCCUCAAUCGGUAAUGCUGGAAUUCAGUAUGGUGUUGGCACACCUUUAGCCUGACGACAGCUUCCACUCUCGCAGGCAUAUGUUCAAUCAGGUGCUGGAAGGUUUCUUGGGCAAUGGCAGCCCAUUCUUCACAGAGUGCUGCACUGACGAGAGGUAUCGAUAUUGGUCGGUGAGGCCUGCAUCCCAGAGGUGUUCCAUAGGAUUCAAGUCAGGACUCUGUGCAGGCCAGUCCAUUACAUGGACGUUAUUGUCAUGUAACCACUCUGCCAUGAGUACCUAAUAUGAAAAACGUAUGUUUUUGGGGGUAUAUGGGUACUUUUGAUCACAUAGUGUAUACAGGGUGAAGCAAAAUUCAUGCAAUCAGGCUUCUCAGUGCAACUCCUCAAAUGCCAGUGAUAAAAAAAAUGUCUGAGUACGUCUGGCAGAAAAAGGACGAUAAAGAGUGGCAAUCUGGCAACACUGUAACCACAUAUAUGGUCAUUACCUGUGUCAGCACAUAUGAAUUGUGCUGUAUAUGUGGUGCAGUGAAUAGAGUUUUGGGUUAUAAUGCAGGAGGUCGAGGGUUCGAUCCUGGUUGGGGCGCUUUUUUUUAUUUGCUAAUUUCAUUCUGACAUUUCUACUGUAAUAUACACCAUUUCAUAGCUUACCUGUAUCCUUAAUUUACAAUAUUUUGUAACGCUGAACAUAACAAAUAUGUCUUUAGACAAAUAAGAAAUAGACAGUUGAAACAAAUGUCCUAUCACUGCAUUGAGAUGUGUAGUAAACAGCAUGCGGUUACCAGACUCAUUGUUGAAAGGCAUAAUUAGUGGGACCAUUGUGAUAACACAUACAAUUAGUAACCGAGUUUGGACAUUAUUCGCAAAGCACGUUGCUAGUCCUACUGCUAACGUAAGGCCCUAAUGAAAUGUAAAGGACCUGAACGAGGCAAGAAUAACAGUUGCUACUAAUCUAUGGGACCAUUGGAGAAGGGUACAAAGAAAAACAGCUUUCGCGACUAGUAGAUGAAGUGGUGCGAAUAAAUUCCAGCCCACAAUGUGGAAAGGGCUUCUUUCAAAGCUGACCAAUCUUCCAUUUCUACAAUUGUAGUAUGUAAGUGCAGAUGUUUUCUAGAGGACCUGCUGCAAUUGCUGUUCACGAUUAAGAUGCCAGAUACUGUACCAUCUGGACUACAUUUACCAUAUAAAAAACAUAUGCCCUAACACAGUACCGAACCAUCAUCGUUCUGCAUGAUAACCCAAAACUCUACCCACUGCACCACAUAUACAGCACAACUGAUACACGCUGACAGAGGAAUAUACCAUAUAUGUGGUUACAGUGUUACCACAUUGUCAAUCUUUUAACGUCCUUUUUCUGCCAGGUGUUCUUGCCAGACUAAAUUUUGAAAGAGACAUUUUUUUAUUGCUGGCGUGUGAGGAGUCGUGCUGUGAAGCCUAGUGCGUGAAUUUUGCUUCACCCUGUAUAAACACCAAAUUCUAAUUGUAUGAUUAUUACAUGCAAUUUUACUGACACAGGCAGCUAUCCAAAGCACAAUCCUUGGAAAUCACUCUCCGUGAAUUCAUCAACUCUAUAAAAGUCUUGCUCUUUUAGCACAGUUUCUAAUAUUUUCUAGCAUUUCAGUAAGGGAAUCUAGUGAGCUCUUUUUGGCAGUUUGUUGAAGAAUUUAAGACUCACGUGUUUGUGGCUAUUGUGACUGAAGAAAAGAACUGUUAUGGUUUAAUGUCCCAUCAACAACAAGAGACACACAAUUAGGGCAACACCAGCUCAGGUUGGGGACAGAUAGGAACAGAUUGGUCAUGUCCUUUUCAACUAUCUUAUUAUUUACCCCACUCUGCCACCACAAUCGGUGAGAAUUUCUUAGGGACCAUCUGGAUGCAUGUAGAAAGAAGCACCAAAGCUUCAACCCUGUCAGGUAAAAAAUUUGUGAAUAAAAUAAUGAAGCUGUAGGCAUGUAAUACCGGAAGCAUGUUCUCAUUUGGCCAUCUCCUGGAACAAUUAAUGGUAGUAUCCUAUUACAGAUUUGCACAUAUGAAACAGUACAGAAAUAUACAAACACUUGAAAAAACUGAGUAUUACUGUAAGAUUUCUCAUGGACAAUAUGUAUGUGUCUAAGAAAAUUAUUUUAACUACUCACACUGCAACAAUUACUGCCACACUGAACAACUAUAAUGUAUAUUCUUACGUCAGUUCAUUAAAAUACUGCCAACAUAUCCAGUAUAUUCUUACGUCAGUUCAUUAAAAUACUGCCAACAUAUCCAGUGUUAAUUAUUUGGAAAUUGAAACCGACUUUUUUUGUCGGUGGAUAACUAUGUUGAAUCAUAUAAUUAGAUUUAGAUUAUCCCACCCUGUGUUACAUAGAUUAUGCAGCCUACAUAAAACUUGUAUUCACGGUCACUUUAUUAAAAGUUCAUUCUUUUUGGUACAUAUAAA
Schistocerca cancellata (South American locust) is the source of this 5446-nucleotide long non-coding RNA. RefSeq lists it as uncharacterized. The record is from RefSeq and is a predicted model, not a curated record. NCBI's taxonomy places the organism in Eukaryota, Metazoa, Arthropoda, Insecta, Orthoptera, Acrididae. The transcript is spliced from 2 exons.